This is a long non-coding RNA of Gossypium arboreum, 891 nucleotides long. RefSeq lists it as uncharacterized. Lineage: Eukaryota; Viridiplantae; Streptophyta; Magnoliopsida; Malvales; Malvaceae. The record is from RefSeq and is a predicted model, not a curated record. The transcript is spliced from 2 exons.
AUGGUUGUGUUUUGAUGAUUUAUAGUGGAUAAUGAAUGUUUGAUGUGUUAAAUAUGAGUUUUAUUCAAUGAAUUUCGGUAAAAAUGUCAAAAAGGGGUUAAAUUGUGAAAGUUACAAAUUGGUCAUAAGUGUGUGAAUUAGUGAAAAUUUGGAGUUUCCAUAGAAGAGAAAAAUGUUCAGCAUGUCCUAAACCUUAUAGAAAUUGAAUAAAAAUUAAUUUACGAGCAUUGGGGAAAAAGUGCAAAUAUGCAAAAGUUUAGGGGUCAAAAUGAAAAUUUGUAAAAAUAUGAUUUUUAGACCCAUAUGAAUAUUGUGACUGAUUGGUAGGCUAAAUGUGAUGUUAUAGAUGAUGAAAAUUGAGACUUGGACCUAGAACGGAAAGAAAUCGAUUUAUGGACGAGUAUGUCCUUUUCACAUUUAUGGUAUCGAGAGUUUCCAGGUUAGCUCGGGUUGGAGGCUGUCAGAGAUAUUAUCACCCUAUCGAGUUAACGUUAUCGGAGUAAGUAAACUCAAGUGAUUCGAGUCUAUGGCAUGUAUAGGGUUUUAAUGUGAGUAUGUAAUAUUAUGAUUUAGCCAAAUUCAUUGGCUUGUUAUUAAGGUAGUAUUAGUCAUGUAAAUUGGCCUAUGUCGGCUAAUGACAUUAUGGGCCCAUAUGAUUAUUCUUAUGCAUGUAUGUUAUUAUCUCUUGUGAUGUGGCUUACAACAUGUAUGCCUAGAGAUUGAAUUGAGAUUCAUUGAUGAGCUAGUAACUAAUGCAGGAUUAAGUGAUUGGUAAAUAGUUAAUAAUGCUUCAUGAAUGGUUUGUGAUGUAAUGAUAGUUAUGUCUAGUAUGUGGUAAUGAUAUGGGCAAAUUCUAUAAUAUUUAUUGCAUAAGAAAAUAACUUGAGCAUA